AUGAGGAAGAACGGGAGGGAAGGAAAGGGGAAAGGACAGCAGGGAAGGGUAGAGGAGAGAAGGAAGGGGCUGUCCGAAGUCACAGGGCACUGGAGGGGCCAGGAUGUGAGGGGCUUCAAAGUUGUGCUCACGUUCUCAGCUGCAGUUAACACUGACCUCCUGUUAAAACAGCCAAGCUCAGGAUUCUUCGGAGCCCCAAGGGGAACUCUCGUGAACGUGAAAACCAAGGCCCAGGAAUCUAAAGUGAUUCACCCAAAAAUAUCCCAGCAGAGAAGGGGCACAGCCUGGAUUCAGACCCCGAAUGAUCCUCUAACGCUCUUAGAAGGAGUAGAGAAAGCAGGAUUUACACCUCUGAGCAAUGACCUCAGCAGUAUCCCCGUCUCCUGCUGUCACCCUUCCUCAUGGACGCCAGAUUCCCUGUCUCCCGUGCUGAUCAUUAGAGCAGGUCAGCAGGGGCCCAGCCCCACCCUGGACCUUCUGUGCUCACCCAUCAGCCUACAGAUGUCCCUGUAGUGACCAGGUCCUCCCUCCUGUGGCCUGCCCCAUGCAGACAAGAAACAGACUUGCACUUGGGCAGAGACAGGAGCAGGUAGGCAGGGAGGCCUGGUCUUACUUCUUUGCCAUAUUGUCACUGUCACCAGGCACCACCUGCCAGCCUAAAACAGAUCCUGGGUCCUCCUUCCUCA
Molecule: long non-coding RNA, 686 nt
Filed under: Cavia porcellus (domestic guinea pig)
Lineage: Eukaryota; Metazoa; Chordata; Mammalia; Rodentia; Caviidae
Description: lncRNA (ENSCPOG00000038784.1)
Source: RNAcentral